This 31-nucleotide non-coding RNA is filed under the name Mus musculus (house mouse). Lineage: Eukaryota; Metazoa; Chordata; Mammalia; Rodentia; Muridae. The record is from RNAcentral.
UGGUUGCUGGGAUUUUGAACUUCAGACCUUU